CAGAGGGUGCAAGCGUUGUUCGGAAUUAUUGGGCGUAAAGCGCGUGUAGGCGGCUUUGUAAGUUGGGUGUGAAAGCCCUCGGCUUAACCGAGGAAGUGCGCCCAAAACUGCAUUGCUUGAGUGUCGGAGAGGAUGGCGGAAUUCCCGGUGUAGAGGUGAAAUUCGUAGAUAUCGGGAGGAACACCAGUGGCGAAGGCGGCCAUCUGGACGACUACUGACGCUGAGACGCGAAAGCGUGGGGAGCAAACAGGAUU
This 254-nucleotide ribosomal RNA is filed under the name uncultured bacterium. RNAcentral's name for it is "partial 16S ribosomal RNA". It matches the Rfam family "Bacterial small subunit ribosomal RNA", at positions 526 to 779 of the family's 1533-position model. The record is from RNAcentral.